AGUGCUGGGAUUACAAGCGUGAGCCACCGCGCCCGGCUACUUUUUUUUUUUUCUUUUUGAGACAGUGUCUCACUCUGUAGCCCAGACUGGAGUGCAGUGGCGCAAUCUUGGCUCACUGCAAGCUCCGCCUCCCGGGUUCACACCAUUCUCCUGCCUCAGCCUCCCGAGUAGCUGGGACUACAGGCACCCCCCACCAAGCCCGGCUAAUUUUUUUUUGUAUUUUCAGUAGAGACGGGGUUUCACUGUGUUAGCCAGGAUGGUCUCGAUCUCCUGACCUCACGAUCUGCCUGCCUCAGCCUCCCAAAGUUCUGGGAUUAUAGGCGUGAGCCACUGAGCCCAGCCGUGCCUGGCUAACUUUUGUAGUUUUAGUAGAGACGGGGUUUCACCAUCUUGGCCAGGCUGGUCUUGAACUCCUGACCUCGUGAUCCACCCGCCUUGGUCUCCCAAAGUGCUAGGAUUACAGGUGUGAGCCACCGCGCCUGGCCCCCUAUACCUAUUUUAUCUGAAUUUUAUUAUGAGUUGGUGUUGAAUCUUGUCAAAUACUUUUUUCUGAAAUUAAUUGACAUGAUUUUUUUCUUUUAGCCUUUUAUUACAGUAGACUACAUUGAUUAAUUUUCAAAUACCAAAUCAGCUACUUAUCCUUGGAAUAAACCCCACUUCGUCAUGUUGUGUAAUUCUCAUAUGUUGAUUAAUUCUAUUUGCUAAUAUUUUGUUAAGGAUUUUGCAUCUUUAUUUAUGAUGGGUAUUGUUUGGCAGUUUUCUCCUUUUUUGUGCGUGCUUCCUUUGGUUUUGGUGUCAGAGUAAAUACUAACUUCUUAAAAUGAUUAAGCAAUGUUCUUUUCUAUUUUCUGAAAGAGUUUGGGUAGGAUUGGUGUUAAUUAUUAUUAUUAUUUUUUUUUUCUUGAGACGGAGUCUUGCUGUGUCACCCCCGCUGGAGUGCAGUGGCAUGAUCUCGGCUCACUGCAAUCUCUGCCUCCUGGGUUCAAGUGAUUCUCCUGCCUCAGUCUCCCUAGUAGCUGGGAUUAUAGGCGCGUACCAGCAUGCCCAGCUAAUUUUUGUAUUUUUAGUACAGACGGGUUUUCACAAUGUUGGCCAGGAUGGUCUCGAUCUCUUGACCUUGUGAUCCACCAGCCUUGGCCUCCCAAAGUGCUGGAAUCACAGGCGUGAGCCACCUUGCCUGGCAGUGUUAAUUAUUUUUUAACUGGUAGAAUUCUCUAGUGACAUCAUUUGAGUCUGGAGACUUCUUGUUUGUGAUUUUUUUAUUACAAAUUUAAUGUUCUUAAUAGCCAUAAGGCUGUUCUUAUUAUCCAUUUCAUAUUGGAUGAAUUGUGGUAGAUUACUUUCUUUUUUUGAGGAAUUGGUCCAUUUCAUCUAAGUUGUUGAAUUUAUGUAGAACUGGUUUUAGUAUUUCCUUACUAUCUUUUUAAUGUGUAUAGAAUAUAUAUCCCCCAUUUCUUUCUUUUUUUUCUUUUUUUUUUUUUUGAGACAGUCUCACUCUGUCGCCCAGGCUGCAGUGUAGUGGCACAAUCUCAGCUCACUGCAACCUCCAACUCCUGAAUUAAAGUGAUUCUCCUGCCUCAGCUUCUCCCAAGUACCUGGGAUUACAGGCACCCACCACCAUGCCCAGCUAAUUUUUUUAUUUUUAGUAGAGAUGGGGUUUCACCAUAUUGGUCAGGCUGGUCUCGAACUCCUUACCUCAGGUGAUCCACCUGCCUUGGCCUCCCAAAGUGCUGGGAUUACAGGUGUGAGCCAUCGUGCCCGGCCAAUUUAAACAUCUUUAAGGAAACACAUCAAAAUGUAACUAGAGGUUGUUUCUAGAUAAUGGGACCAUGAGGAUUUCUAUUUCUUCUUUGGCAUAUUUGUAUUUUCCACUUUUUUCUAUAAUGAACAUCUAUUGUUAAAACAGGGCCUUGUUGUCACCCAGACUGGAGAGCAAUGGUGUGAUCUACCUCACUGUAACCUCAAACUCCUGGGCUUAAGGGAUCCUCCUGCCUCAGCUUCCUGAGUGGCUAGGACUACAGGCAAGCAGAUUCAUUCUCAUAGAAGGGCAUCAGAGGAAGAUAAAGAAGCAUCCUCAAUGUCAGACAUCUGAGCCCGAGCUAAGCCAUCAUAACCCCUGUGACCUGCACAUAUACAUGCCCCACUCCAACUAAUCGAUCGACCUUGUGACAUUCCUCCUCUGGACAAUGAGUCUCAUGAUCUCCCAACCCUGCACCUUGUGACCCCUCCCCUGCCCACAAGAGAUAACCACCUUUAACUGUACUU
Molecule: long non-coding RNA, 2265 nt
Organism: Symphalangus syndactylus (siamang)
Lineage: Eukaryota; Metazoa; Chordata; Mammalia; Primates; Hylobatidae
Source: RefSeq, a predicted model, not a curated record